AACAUAGCAAUCUGUUACUCUUUUUCUUUGGGACUGGAAUGUAUGCCCUGUAUUGCAUGCAUCAUUAUGAGUUACAAUACCUCCCGUGUAAAGGUUUAGUCUUACAGCAUGUGUAUCUAUAAAUUAACAUAAAUUGCCACAUGGAAAGUCACUAAAGCAGUUGUUCUGCUUAGUUAAGAUUGAUAAUUGGACUCUGAGCUAUUCAAAAAUUCAUGGGAUGAAGUAUAUUGAGCUACAUCCCAAACACUGUGAAUAGGCUGAAAAUCAAAAUUUGACUUACAUGUUAACUACUUAUCAUAUUUUUGAAUCAAACUGUCAUCUUAUUUAAAAAUGUCUAUUACUGUGCUGAAGGAAGUGUUAAGCCUCAUUAGCCUUUCUGGAAACCACAUUUUUGCAAUAAAAAAAGAGAAAAAGAAACCAACAAACUAAUAUACUGCUUUACAAGUAAUUUCCAGUCUUGAAAAAUAAACACUGUUAACUUUAUCAACUAUAUUUUUUCAUUCACAGAAGGCUCAUCUGUUCACAUAGGAAAAAUAUAAUACUGGCAUAUGGGAAAUCAUAUCUCCAAAAAAAUAAUAAUUGUCCAUACAAAAGCAUCUCUGUUUUGAGACAGAAAAAGAUCUUCAAAGACUUUUAUCCUGUUUUUCUAUAGCACUGCACUGAAGUAUUCCACAGAGUUCUCUCAGAGGGAAGAAUAUCAUUUUUAUUCAUGCAUAUCACACUCUUAUCUUAAGCUCAGGAUCAAUCAGGAUCACACAGAGAGCAGAGGUACAUAAAAUGGGAAUGCUUUCAAUAUAACAUAUUUUCAGAUGGUUAGUCAGGAUAUAAUCUCCAUGCUGCUUACAAAAAUUGCUGCUACAUUAGCCUAUCUCUGCUUCCGUAGACAUUCCAUGCACAAAUAUCUUUUGAGCUCUGCUCUUCUUUCCUGCUUGGGAAAAAUGAGGAUCUUCUCUUUGCUCAAUUUUUUGUACCCAAAAAGCAUUGAGUAUAAGUGCAUAGGCACUUCUGAGUGUCACCUCUCUUAGUGAUAUAGAGAGCAGAAAAGGCUAGUUGAAGGGCACACAGAUCUGGACUGACAAAAGUGGUGUGAUAAAUGAACAAAGCAUAAUAAUUUGCUGGAUGCAAAGAUGGACAAAUACUGUAAUGAAUAAGGGUAACGACUGCAUUAAUUUUUUCAAGAAUUAGGAGAGUCUGAAACUGCAGUGUUGAACAACCAUAGAUAAUGAUCUGUAAGUGGGAAGAGACAGAAGAAACUGAAGAAACACAAACACGAAGUAUUGGCAAUAUUGCUGUUCUGAGACAGGAGGCUUCAGGAAGUAAUGAACACAUAAGGAAAGAGACCCAAACCUAGUUUUCUUCUAUUUUAAUCUGAUCAUUUUUGAGUUUCUAUCAAGAAUUUUAAGCUUUGAAUUUUGAGAUUAUGAACACUGAGUGUUCAGGCUUGUCUCAGAUCAGCUGUC
This is a long non-coding RNA of Gallus gallus (chicken), 1460 nucleotides long. Lineage: Eukaryota; Metazoa; Chordata; Aves; Galliformes; Phasianidae. The record is from Ensembl.